Long non-coding RNA from Leopardus geoffroyi (Geoffroy's cat), 3491 nucleotides. RefSeq lists it as uncharacterized. The record is from RefSeq and is a predicted model, not a curated record. The transcript has 2 exons. NCBI's taxonomy places the organism in Eukaryota, Metazoa, Chordata, Mammalia, Carnivora, Felidae.
CCAAUGCGGGGCUCGAACUCACAGACUGUGAGAUCGUGACCUGAGCUGAAGUUGGAUGCGCAACCGACUGAGCCAUGCAGGCGCCCUGAGGCUCUCAGAUCUUGAGGGCAAGUGCUGGGUCUCACUGAGCUUUGUAUCUCCCCUGCUAUGUAACAAGUGCUCAAUAAACAUUUGACCAGUGAGUGAGCAAAUAAUAAGUAAAUCAGUACAAGCAUAAGUAAUUGAAUCAGUGUGUGAAAGAAUGCACUCUCUAGUGGAGGUAUGGAUCAAUGAAUGAGUCCAUCAGGGCAUGAGGGAGGGGGCAGGUGAACGGUGCAUCAGUGAGUGAGGAGAGUUGAAUGAAGGAAGGAUGCCCAUUCCCUUGUGAAAGGUUGUAUGGUGGUAAUGGCUUAAAUGGCCCAGUUCCAGAGCCCUGGGAAGAGUCUGGGCUGUGGCUGCUCGAGGGACAGCGCUGAAGGAGGGCUCAGCAGCUGGAGCUCCCCAAAUACAGCCAUUCUAGAGACUUCUCUCCCCUGCCUUCCAGCCGCCAUCCACCUCUGCUUUGUGGACACAGUGGUGCUGAGGGAGUGUGAGGCAGGGCAAGCCUCCAAGCUAAGUCCAUAGCUGUCCACUCCCGGACACCCCAGCCACAGGCAGUGAGGACUCACUCCCCGCCCCCCCCCAUGCCCCCCCCUCGACUCCAUAUCCCCUCGCUGAUCUCCCCUGUCUUGUUGGCAAGGGAGAGCCUGUCAGGGGUUUGCAUUAUUUAUCUGCUCUGUAACAUUUACUGGGAUGUAGUGUUUAAUAACUGUCACUCCAAUAUAUCUUUUCUUAAUCCCUUCAGAUCUGCUGCUGUAGCAAUUUUAAAUAUUUAUCAACACUGUUCAUGUAUUCGCUGGUUGGGUUGCAAUUUUCUUGUAAUUAAAGAUUUACAAGACACUGCUUGAGAUUUACAAAGGAUUGGUAGAGAUCAAAGGGGGAGCAGAGGAGAGAUCGGGUCUUGGAAUCUGUUGCUGGGAAUGCCGAAGCUGGAUUUGCUCUCCCGGGAAAAGUGGAGGCUCCUUCAUGGGCUCCCACUGCCCUCUCCUUCCUGCUCUUUCCCACAGCCCAGCGCUCCAGUAAAGCAGACCUCACAGCGCGACCCAGGCCACAGUGUGGUCCUGCCUCCCUCUGGAGCCCCUGCGGCCGCAUGCCAGCCUGGGGCUGGGUGCUGGGGCACAGCGGGGAGCGAGGCAGGGAAGGUCCCUGUUCACAUGGGGCUUACAUUCUAGUGGCAGCGGCGGACGAUAAACGUUAACAAAAUUAAAAUUAUUUUGGGUUUUGAAAAAUGCUAUGGAUGGAGUAAAUAGAUAGUGACUGAGGGUAGGAAAUGAGUAUCAGAGUUCUUGCCCUCGAGCAGUAGAAACUGACUCAAUGAAAGGAAGUUUCUGAAAGGAUAAGGGGAGUUCAUAAGGGACCAAAGGAAAGAAUAAAAGUGAAAAAGGGUAAGUGGAGGCAGGCACCCACAGAUGGUCUCUUCAGAGGGUGGCCUUUGGGAGAAAUGUCUCUGGACUGUGUUCUGUUUUGGUGACAUUCUGCCCAGGAGUCACAGUCCAGAGACAGAGGUGUUCACUCUUGGGCUGAGGAAGGCAGGGCACCUUGAGUGACAGCUUCACCGGGGCUGUCCAUUGGGGGAGGGGUAGUCAUCCAGAUGAAAUCUGGGUCACAGGUAAUGGGCUUACUGGAGCCUCAGGUGCACAUUAUAUCUCAGAAGGCCUCCCAGGGGUUAUCUGAGCUGACACCAAAAGGAUGAGAAGGGGCUGGUCACAUGAAGAACUGGGACAAGAGGGACUAGAAAGGGCAAAGCCUGAUGGUAGGAAAGAGCUUGGAUUUUCAAGGGUCUGGGUGGCCGGUUCUGUCUUCCCUCACAGACUGGGCUUGGGCAUGGACCCAUCUCCAGUUCUGCAGAGGCAGACCUGGUUUACAUUAUGGGGCCAGAAUUUUGUUUGUUCCAGAUGGAACGGAGUAGAGGGCGUUCCCUACCUCCUAGAACAGGAAAAACAAUAAUGGCGGAAUUUUGGUUAAGUCAAGUCAUGUUUCUGGAGGCCUUUGGACUCCUAAGGAUGGACGAGGUAUGUGCACAGUCCUCAGAGCGCUUACACCCUUGUUGGGGAGACACACACAGAUCAGGGCAGUGAUAGACGUAAGCCUAGAGAGGCAUUUGAACCUUGCUUCUAUUCUAAACUAUGUGUUUAGUGCUCUAAAUUCCCCUUAAGUACUGCUAUGAUUUUUGUUUGUUUCUCCAAGUCUCUAUUUCGUCACGUACAAAAUGAGAAUAAUAAUAGUACCUUAUUCAUGUGAAACUUUCUAGGGAUUAAAUGAGAUAAUACAUGUAAAGUACUUACAUAUGCCUGGCACAUAAUAAUAUUCACUCAAUAAAUUUGAGCUAUUAUGAUUAAUAAUAAAAGUCAUGUAAGUAUCACUACCCCAAAACCAACGAUUUUGAUGUCGUAUUUGUAUUUUCAUCCGACUCAAAACGCUUCCUAAUUUUCCUUUGUUCUCCAUGGAUUGUGUAGAGGUGUGUUAUUUAGCCCACAGAGUUUUAGGGAUUUUCUAGUUAUCUCUCUGCAUUGAUUUCCAAUUUAUUUCUCUUGUGGUCAGAGAGCAUACUUGGUAUGACUCAAAUCCUUUAAAACUCAUUGAAUGUUACUUAUGGCCCAGAAGAUGAUCUUUCUUGAUAAAAGUUUCAUGUUUCCUUGAAAGAAUGUGUACUCUUGCUAUUGUUGGGUAGAGUGCGCUGUCAUGGUGAGUAGGUCGAGCGGAGCGACAGUGUUGUUCAGAUCAUCUAUGUCCUUGCUCAUUUUCUGACUACUUGUUCUAGUAAUUAAUGGGGGGGGGGUGGAAAUCUCUGACUGUAAUUGUGAGUGUGUCAGUUUCUCCUUGUGGUUCUAUCAAUUUUUGGUUCACAUAUCGUGGAGCUCUGUUAUAAGGCGUAUUGAGGUUUGCAAUUUUUAUACAUUAAAGAACGAUCUGGCCCCAAAUGUCAAUUGAGGAAGUUGAGAAGCAAUAAUCUAGAGCUAAUUAUUCCCCUCAAGUGAGACAAGACUCAUUUAUGCGCCCCGUUCGCUGCCCCACCAGGCAUGGGGUUUCCAGUGUGGGCUGUGGGAGCAGACACUAUUCCCAGUGUGCAUGAGUGGUGAGCACUCUUCACCUUAACCUUUUCAGUUUACUCUUUUACCCAGCUUCGCAUGGAUUCCUCACCUGUACAGGCUGAUGAGUACUCAGCUGAGGGAUGGAGGGAGAUUCUCUUUGUGGAUCUCCAGAGUUCUGUGCAACUUUUUCUCCACUCUUCUUUCCGGCAAAUUCUACCUGCCCUGCUCCACAUGGCAUCCCCUUCCUACCUGUAGCCUGGAAACUCUCUGAAGAUAGCAAGCCUAGACAAUCAUCGGGAUGGUCUUGUUUAUUUCUCACCUCGAAAGGAUCACUGUGCUACAUUGCCUAGCAUGCCAUGUCCCAUAAAUGGUUGCUUCAUA